This 234-nucleotide ribosomal RNA is filed under the name uncultured bacterium. RNAcentral describes it as "partial 16S ribosomal RNA". It matches the Rfam family "Bacterial small subunit ribosomal RNA", at positions 1266 to 1500 of the family's 1533-position model. The record is from RNAcentral.
AGCAAAUCUCUUAAAGCGUUCUCAGUUCGGAUUGUAGGCUGCAACUCGCCUACAUGAAGUCGGAAUCGCUAGUAAUCGCGGAUCAGCAUGCCGCGGUGAAUACGUUCCCGGGCCUUGUACACACCGCCCGUCACACCAUGAGAGUUUGUAACACCCAAAGCCGGUGGGGUAACCUUUUGGAGCCAGCCGUCUAAGGUGGGACAGAUGAUUAGGGUGAAGUCGUAACAAGGUACC